CUGGGCUACGGGGACAUGUACCCCAUGACGUGGUCGGGGAUGUUGGUGGGGGCCCUGUGCGCCCUGGCGGGGGUCCUCACCAUCGCCAUGCCCGUCCCCGUCAUCGUCAACAAC
Callipepla squamata (scaled quail) is the source of this 114-nucleotide regulatory RNA element. It matches the Rfam family "Potassium channel RNA editing signal". Rfam says of the family: This family represents a group of sequences related to the human potassium channel Kv1.1 hairpin element which directs the efficient modification of an adenosine to inosine by an adenosine deaminase acting on RNA (ADAR). The ADAR modification causes an isoleucine/valine recoding event which lies in the ion-conducting pore of the potassium channel. The record is from Rfam. NCBI's taxonomy places the organism in Eukaryota, Metazoa, Chordata, Aves, Galliformes, Odontophoridae.